Molecule: ribosomal RNA, 529 nt
Filed under: uncultured Thermodesulfobium sp.
Lineage: Bacteria; Pseudomonadati; Thermodesulfobiota; Thermodesulfobiia; Thermodesulfobiales; Thermodesulfobiaceae
Description: bacterial SSU rRNA
Rfam family: Bacterial small subunit ribosomal RNA
Source: RNAcentral
GACGAACGCUGGCGGCGUGCGUAACACAUGCAAGUCGAACGGAGAUAGAAGCUUGCUUCUAUCUUAGUGGCAAACGGGUGAGUAACGCGUGGGUAACSUACCCUAAAGUGGGGGAUAACAGGUCGAAAGGUCUGCUAAUACCGCAUACCCUUCAAGUACGAAAGUAUUUGAAGGAAAGGAGUAAUCCGCUUAAGGAGGGGCSUGCGUCCUAUCAGGUAGUUGGUGAGGUAACGGCUCACCAAGCCUAUGACGGGUAGCUGGUCUGAGAGGAUGAUCAGUCACACUGGAACUGAGACACGGUCCAGACUCCUACGGGAGGCAGCAGUGGGGAAUAUUCCGCAAUGGGCGAAAGCCUGACGGAGCGACGCCGCGUGGAUGAUGAAGACCCUAUGGGUCGUAAAAUCCUUUUGUGAGGGAAGAAGAUCUGACGGUACCUCACGAAUAAGCCACGGCUAACUACGUGCCAGCAGCCGCGGUAAAACGUAGGUGGCAAGCGUUGUCCGGAAUUACCUGGGCGUAAAGAGUGCGU